Molecule: ribosomal RNA, 305 nt
Filed under: uncultured bacterium
Lineage: Bacteria
Description: bacterial SSU rRNA
Rfam family: Bacterial small subunit ribosomal RNA
Source: RNAcentral
UGGCCUACGGGGGGCAGCAGUGAGGAAUAUUGGUCAAUGGGCGGGAGCCUGAACCAGCCAAGUCGCGUGAGGGACGACGGUCCUAUGGAUUGUAAACCUCUUUUGUCGGGGAACAAAGGCGCCCACGGGUGGGCGGAUGAGUGUACCCGAAGAAAAAGCAUCGGCUAACUCCGUGCCAGCAGCCGCGGUAAUACGGAGGAUGCGAGCGUUAUCCGGAUUUAUUGGGUUUAAAGGGUGCGUAGGCGGUCUUUUAAGUCUGAUGUGAAAGCCUUCGGCUUAACCGGAGUAGUGCAUAGGAAACUGGG